RNAcentral lists this ribosomal RNA (443 nucleotides) under Ovis aries (sheep). RNAcentral's name for it is "partial 12S ribosomal RNA". The record is from RNAcentral. Lineage: Eukaryota; Metazoa; Chordata; Mammalia; Artiodactyla; Bovidae.
CAUAGGUUUGGUCCCAGCCUUCCUGUUAACUUUCAAUAGACUUAUACAUGCAAGCAUCCACGCCCCGGUGAGUAACGCCCUUCGAAUCACAUAGGACUAAAAGGAGCAGGUAUCAAGCACACACUCUUGUAGCUCACAACGCCUUGCUUAACCACACCCCCACGGGAGACAGCAGUAACAAAAAUUAAGCCAUAAAGAAAGUUUGACUAAGCCAUAUUGACCAGGGUUGGUAAAUCUCGUGCCAGCCACCGCGGUCAUACGAUUGACCCAAGCUAACAGGAGUACGGCGUAAAGCGUGUUAAAGCAUCAUACUAAAUAGAGUUAAAUUUUAAUUAAACUGUAAAAAGCCAUAAUUAUAACAAAAAUAAAUGACGAAAGUAACCCUACAAUAGCUGAUACACCAUAGCUAAGACCCAAACUGGGAUUAGAUACCCCACUAUGCU